Molecule: ribosomal RNA, 1428 nt
Filed under: Chryseobacterium sp. MYb120
Lineage: Bacteria; Pseudomonadati; Bacteroidota; Flavobacteriia; Flavobacteriales; Weeksellaceae
Description: bacterial SSU rRNA
Rfam family: Bacterial small subunit ribosomal RNA
Source: RNAcentral
CUGGCUCAGGAUGAACGCUAGCGGGAGGCCUAACACAUGCAAGCCGAGCGGUAUUUGUUCUUCUGAACAGAGAGAGCGGCGUACGGGUGCGGAACACGUGUGCAACCUGCCUUUAUCAGGGGGAUAGCCUUUCGAAAGGAAGAUUAAUACCCCAUAAUAUAUUAAGUGGCAUCACUUGAUAUUGAAAACUCCGGUGGAUAGAGAUGGGCACGCGCAAGAUUAGAUAGUUGGUAGGGUAACGGCCUACCAAGUCAGUGAUCUUUAGGGGGCCUGAGAGGGUGAUCCCCCACACUGGUACUGAGACACGGACCAGACUCCUACGGGAGGCAGCAGUGAGGAAUAUUGGACAAUGGGUGAGAGCCUGAUCCAGCCAUCCCGCGUGAAGGACGACGGCCCUAUGGGUUGUAAACUUCUUUUGUAUAGGGAUAAACCUUUCCACGUGUGGAAAGCUGAAGGUACUAUACGAAUAAGCACCGGCUAACUCCGUGCCAGCAGCCGCGGUAAUACGGAGGGUGCAAGCGUUAUCCGGAUUUAUUGGGUUUAAAGGGUCCGUAGGCGGAUCUGUAAGUCAGUGGUGAAAUCUCACAGCUUAACUGUGAAACUGCCAUUGAUACUGCAGGUCUUGAGUAAAGUAGAAGUGGCUGGAAUAAGUAGUGUAGCGGUGAAAUGCAUAGAUAUUACUUAGAACACCAAUUGCGAAGGCAGGUCACUAUGUUUUAACUGACGCUGAUGGACGAAAGCGUGGGGAGCGAACAGGAUAGAUACCCUGGUAGUCCACGCCGUAAACGAUGCUAACUCGUUUUUGGGGCUUCGGCUUCAGAAACUAAGCGAAAGUGAUAAGUUAGCCACCUGGGGAGUACGUUCGCAAGAAUGAAACUCAAAGGAAUUGACGGGGGCCCGCACAAGCGGUGGAUUAUGUGGUUUAAUUCGAUGAUACGCGAGGAACCUUACCAAGGCUUAAAUGGGAAUUGAUCGGUUUAGAAAUAGACCUUCCUUCGGGCAAUUUUCAAGGUGCUGCAUGGUUGUCGUCAGCUCGUGCCGUGAGGUGUUAGGUUAAGUCCUGCAACGAGCGCAACCCCUGUCACUAGUUGCCAUCAUUAAGUUGGGGACUCUAGUGAGACUGCCUACGCAAGUAGAGAGGAAGGUGGGGAUGACGUCAAAUCAUCACGGCCCUUACGCCUUGGGCCACACACGUAAUACAAUGGCCGGUACAGAGGGCAGCUACACAGCGAUGUGAUGCAAAUCUCGAAAGCCGGUCUCAGUUCGGAUUGGAGUCUGCAACUCGACUCUAUGAAGCUGGAAUCGCUAGUAAUCGCGCAUCAGCCAUGGCGCGGUGAAUACGUUCCCGGGCCUUGUCACACCGCCCGUCAAGCCAUGGAAGUCUGGGGUACCGAAGUCGGUGACCGUAACAGGAGCGCUAGGGUAAAA